RNAcentral lists this small RNA (124 nucleotides) under Marmota monax (woodchuck). Lineage: Eukaryota; Metazoa; Chordata; Mammalia; Rodentia; Sciuridae. The record is from RNAcentral.
GCUGGGCGCAGUGGCACACGCCUGUAAUCCCAGCAGCUCUGGAGGCUGAGGCAGGAGGAUCAUGAGUUCAAAGUCAGCCUCAGCAACUCAGCGCCCUAAGCAACUCAGCGAGACCCUGUCUCUA